RNAcentral lists this ribosomal RNA (464 nucleotides) under uncultured bacterium. RNAcentral describes it as "partial 16S ribosomal RNA". It matches the Rfam family "Bacterial small subunit ribosomal RNA", at positions 339 to 795 of the family's 1533-position model. The record is from RNAcentral.
CUACGGGGCGAGCAGUGAGGAAUUUUGCGCAAUGGGGGGAACCCUGACGCAGCAACGCCGCGUGAGUGAUGAAGGCUUUCGGGUCGUAAAGCUCUGUCAAGUGGGAAGAACCUAUGCAGUGUUAAUAUCACUGUAUACUGACGGUACCACUGAAGGAAGCACCGGCUAACUCCGUGCCAGCAGCCGCGGUAAUACGGGGGGUGCAAGCGUUAUUCGAAAUCAUUGGGCGUAAAGGGCACGUAGGCGGCUUGGUAAGUCAGAUGUGAAAGCCCGGGGCUUAACCCCGGAAGUGCAUUUGAUACUGUCAGGCUUGAGUAUGGGAGAGGGAAGUGGAAUUCCUGGUGUAGAGGUGAAAUUCGUAGAUAUCAGGAGGAACACCGGUGGCGAAGGCGACUUCCUGGACCAAUACUGACGCUGAGGUGCGAAGGCGUGGGUAGCAAACAGGAUUAGAUACCCUCGUAGUC